RNAcentral lists this unclassified non-coding RNA (1099 nucleotides) under Hevea brasiliensis (rubber tree). Lineage: Eukaryota; Viridiplantae; Streptophyta; Magnoliopsida; Malpighiales; Euphorbiaceae. The record is from RNAcentral.
GUGACAAGAUAAUCAUUCUGCCAAAGGCAACCAACUAGCAUGUCAUCCACUCCGCCAGAGCCGGAACAUGUCAAUGUUUUCUUCAAUUUUCCAUUACCAUCAUCACAGAUCUCCCACACUUUGGCUGACUUGUCGGCAGAAACAGUCAGAACCUGUUUACCAUCAGGACUCCAGCUAACAGCAUAAAUGCUUCCCUUGUGACUAUCUUCAGAAGACAACUCUCCAAUCUUCUCUCCAGUCUUCCCAUCAAACAAUAUGCCCUUCUUAUCGGAGCUUACACUAAUAAAUUUACUGCCAUCUGGAGAAAAUCUUAUGCAAUUGACAAAAUUUGAAUGAUCCCUGCGAGAUAGCUUGAAUCUAAAUGGAGGCCCUUCAUAGAAAUUCACCAAAAAAUCCUCCCCACAAGUCACUAUCCGAAAUGGUCUUGUUGGCUUAAAUGCACAGCUAAGAACUCGCCUCGAAUGGCCAUCAAAUUCCCCUACAUUAGUGCCUGAAUCCCACAUAAAAGCACGCACUAGCGAUUUGCCCUUGCCAUCUCCACACGCGACGAUCCUCAACCCAUCAGGAGACCACUGAAGAUCAUCGAUCCGGCCAGACAAAACUUUAAAUUCCUUCUUCAAGACGUGAUCAUUGUAAGCCCCCCAGAUCCUGACGGUACCGGAGACAUCAGCAGAGGCGAUCCACUCGCCGUUGGGGGAGUAACGAGCGACGGUAGCCUGAUAACCAUGGUCGCCGUAGACGGAGACAUCGAGAGGGUUAUCUAGGUUGAGGAUGAGGACUGAUCGAUUGUUGGUGAAGAGGAUGGAAUUGGAUUUCGGACCGCCGGAGAUUAGGAUUCCUCGGCCGCGCUCGGUGGUGGGAACGCACGCGUAGGUUUCAGAGAGGAGUGGCAUUGGCGGAGGAAAUGGAGAUUUGAUUUGAAAAGGAAAGUAGAAAUGGGAAAGUAAGAGUGGAGUUGUGCAAUACACGAAAGAAGAGAAAGGUGAUCACUGUUAGCAAACUUGCAGAAGAGUAAAAGGCGGAUGACCAUUGACCACAAGUGUUAAGCUGUUGAAUUAAGAAAUUGGAGGAAAAAUACACACAAGGCCCUCAAUUUCAG